This 666-nucleotide long non-coding RNA is filed under the name Papio anubis (olive baboon). Its description in RNAcentral is "lncRNA (ENSPANG00000047354.1)". Lineage: Eukaryota; Metazoa; Chordata; Mammalia; Primates; Cercopithecidae. The record is from RNAcentral.
UGGUUCUCAGAAUCACCUGGAAGCUGGUUAAAACCCAGUUUGCUGGACCCUCCCUCAGAAUUUCUAACUCAGCAGCUCUGAAGUGGGCCAAGAAUUUGCACCAAGUCUCCAAAGGAUGCUGGUGCCUUUGAUCCAGGGACCACACUGCUCAAGAGGCGCUCACCACAUGAAGAGUCAACUCAUUUCCAUGGAGCCUGUGUUCCCUGCAAGCCCAUACUCUCCCCGAGGGCAGGAACUUCAGCUCUGCUUUUUUCCACAAUGGGACAAUGCUGGAGACUUCCUAAGUAUUUGUUGAAUGAAUUAAUGAAUCCUGUUAAUUAUUUUGACUUUUUGAUCUUUGAGGACUUUCUAAUUUCCCCUGAUUGCAGGGGAAAUGCUCUAGGAAAGAAGAUCCAAAGGAAAGGAGAAAAGAAAACAAGAGAAGAAAAGAAGGGGGAAAAGGAAGGAGCUCUUUUCACAAAGCAAGACUUUUUAGUAUUGCCUAGGGGUGUCCUUGUGCCUCUGCUUCAGCGUUCAAAGCUGUCCUUUGUGAUAACACUGGGCCAGCAGGAGAAUCCAAGAUCAUCUCCUCAUCUCAAGAUCUUUAACUUGGUCACUUCUGCAGAGUUCCUUUGCCAUAGUCUCCAGCUUGCAGAAAAUUCCAUGUCUUUUAAGGAUGUGUGCUGA